UUCCUCACCUUGGGGCGUUACAUUACUUCAACCUCUACAAGAGGCCACCCCACUACCAUCCGUUCCUCCACCGAUUCCACAUUCUCCUUUGCAUCGUCUGUCCAACUCAUCAUCGGCUGCAUCCCCCUUUUCUCGGUCUGCCUCAACACCUUCUCCUAUGACCAAACCCACUCCAAGCCCUUUUAGCAUUAUCGACUCUGCACC
Molecule: long non-coding RNA, 204 nt
Filed under: Elaeis guineensis (African oil palm)
Lineage: Eukaryota; Viridiplantae; Streptophyta; Magnoliopsida; Arecales; Arecaceae
Description: long non-coding RNA (EGUI_LNC021155)
Source: RNAcentral